GCCGCUGUGUUGACACGCUCUGCACCUUGCUCCUGCCCUCGCCUUUUACUCCUCUUAUCCCCCCGAUACCCCGAUCAUUCCUGACAGCUCCUGAGUGCCUGGAUUUCAUCAUCCAGCCCUGCAGGAUGCUCCCAUUUGUCCUGAGGGAGGCUGCCCCAGACGGAGAGGAGGAGAUGGAGGUGGAUACAAAGAUUGAUAUGGAUGAGGAGAUGGAAAUUGACAGAGAAGACUCUGGAGAGGAAGAGAUGGACGUGGAUGUGGAUGAGGAAGAGGAGAUGGAUGUUGAUAUGGAAGAGUCCAUUGAGGACAUGGACAUUGAUUGAAAAGGAACAGUGGACAUCACAGACAGGGACACCUGCAAUCAAUAAAAGGUUUUUUUCCAUUUUCUCAAGCCACGCGUUGGGCGCCACUAACUGUAUUUGUCCUGGUUUAGGGCAAGUUUGGGAGAUAACCCCCAAAGGGGCUUCUCUACAAAAGCAGAUUCAAUUGCCCCUCCCCCCUCCAACCAGUUCGGGAGAAAAUAUCUCCUUGCAGAAAAAUGGAAAGAAACCUGUUUAUUAAACAAUAGAAACCAAAUAAUAUUAAGCAAUAAAACUUCUCACUGAUCCAAGGAAAGCAAACUCAGAACAGUCCCCUCCCUGGGUUGCAGCUCGGCUCACUCAGUCUCUGAUCAGUCUCUCUGGUGCUGGAAAUGCUGCUGCCCAGGCCCGGCCAGGGGCCACAGGUGGAGCUGCCGGUGCUCUUCUGGGUGUUCAGUCCAGAGCAGGCUUGAACGGGUCCAAGAAAAAAGGAAAAAAUCACAAUCCGGAGAACUUCCUUGCCUCAGCUAGCUAAAACUAACUAAAAGCAAGAAAAAGGGAAAAAAGGAGCUCUGUCUGGCUGUCUGUCCAUCCGCAGACAACACAGUCCAGGAGCAGGAAUGUGGAGGACUGAGAGCAGUCUGAAAACAAACUGCGCGCUUCUUCCCUGCCCUCCUCACUGUUUGGAAGAGAGUCUUAAAGGUGUAAAAAUUAUUCUUCAGUAUAAACAGAACAAGACGAUUGGGGAUUAAAGCGUCAUAUAGUCAACCCAGGACAUUCCACCCCUUAUCCCCAUAUCGUCACCUUACUACUAAAACUAAUAUAUAUUUUAAGUCUACAAACACAUACAUUAUACAUCUAAUAUACAGCUAUACACAGACAUUGGUGGCAACAUUCAGCAAACAGUGAUAUUUAUACAUGGUUCUCACCCAACAAUCAGAUCUCCCUGAGGUACACAUCGUGUUCUUCCAUCUUUUUGCAUUAUCCACCAUGU
Passer domesticus (house sparrow) is the source of this 1293-nucleotide long non-coding RNA. RefSeq lists it as uncharacterized. The record is from RefSeq and is a predicted model, not a curated record. The transcript has 3 exons. Lineage: Eukaryota; Metazoa; Chordata; Aves; Passeriformes; Passeridae.